This 888-nucleotide long non-coding RNA is filed under the name Populus trichocarpa (black cottonwood). RNAcentral describes it as "long non-coding RNA (PTRI_LNC003881)". The record is from RNAcentral. Lineage: Eukaryota; Viridiplantae; Streptophyta; Magnoliopsida; Malpighiales; Salicaceae.
CCAGCCAUACUCUCCCCUCAUCUCACCAGGGCUGUUCCUUCACAGCCGGUUUUCCCUCAGCCACUGUGAACGCCAUCUCCAGCCGCUCCCCCAUUUCAACAGAUCUUCCCUCUCAGCUGCUCCCUUCUCCAGCCGCCAGCUCGCCAGACCAAAAGGAGGGCAGAGCCGUUCCCCUUCGUUCUCCCCUCUCGUCGGCCGCCUCCUCAUCUUCCCCGAUCUCUUCAUCUCCAUCAACACCGAAGCUUCAUCCAGCAGCAGCCAACACACGGCAGCACCCACAGAGUCAACAGCCGUUCCCAUCUCCACCCGACAAACCCAGCAGACCCGAACCGGCCACCAGCUGCUGCACAGCCAUCGCCGCCCAAACGCCAGACCUGCCACCCAAAGCAGAGGAGAAGACGAAACCCACAACAAAUUGACCCGCCGUGUAGUCGAAGAAGGAGAAGGGAGAGAAGCCGAUCUGGACCAAAAAGAAAAAAUUAAAAUCAACUGCUGUUGUGCGUUGUUUCUCCUUGUUGCAGGUGACGGUGACCUUCACCGCCGACGUAGGGAGACAGAGAAGAAGAAGAGGUUCCCGAUCCACCGGUUUCUGCCACCUUCAUCGGCGGCGGCGCGUGGAACCACGCGCCGCCAGUGACGCCACUGUUCUGGCAGCUCCAGAAGUCGGCCUGACACUGUUCCGGGUUGUUUGGUUCAUUUUGUAAUUUUCAAAUUGUUUAAUGUAAUAUUUGUGUAAUUUUGAGUUUUUUUUUAUAAUUUGUACUUUGUGUAAAUGUGGAGGAAAAAGAAAAAAAGAAAAGAAAAGAAAAGAAAAGAAAAAAACAAAUAUUAAUAGAAAAAGAGUUGUGCGUGUUUUGUUUUUUUGUUAUGUAUAUUAUUGAAUAAAAA